RNAcentral lists this long non-coding RNA (200 nucleotides) under Elaeis guineensis (African oil palm). RNAcentral describes it as "long non-coding RNA (EGUI_LNC012570)". Lineage: Eukaryota; Viridiplantae; Streptophyta; Magnoliopsida; Arecales; Arecaceae. The record is from RNAcentral.
CUCGGUGGCUAUCUAACACUUGUAAACUCAUUGCUCAAUUUGAUACCUAUCUAUUGGAUGUCUUCACUAUUGAUAUCUCAACAAAUUUUAAAUGGAAUUGACAAGAGAUGUUGGAGUUGUUUGUGGUGGAGGGAUAAACAAUGCAAAGAAAUUCACUGUUUGGUUAAUUGAAAAUAGGUUUGUAGACAAAAAAUAAUGGG